AAAAGUGCUAACCACCAAGCACACUGUGCACCCCAAGCAGAAGAUAUGUUAUCUAUAAAACAGGAUUGAGAAUUCACUUAAGUUUUGUAGGAUUGUGAUUUUAUUGAGACAGGCUUGAGUGAUAAUCUGACCUCUCAGCAGCACCAAAAUAUCCAAAGACAGUAGCUGAGGCACUGGAAGCACAGCAGCCAUCUUUUAUUUACAAGACAAGAGCUGUGAUGGUGGGUUUGGACUAAAGUGGAGACACAAGAUCCUUCACCUCACUCGGAGGAAGAUAUCUUCAGGCUUCAGCUCACCGUCUCUCUGGUAUUAAUCACAGCAUCUCCGUCUCGCCACGGGGGAAAUCUCCACCGCAACUCUUCACUUCAUCUGGAAUUAAUGCAAGAUGUCGGAGAAGGAUGGGAGAUUCUGAGCUGCCAAGAAUGGAAAGUCAGGUCACG
Amphiprion ocellaris (clown anemonefish) is the source of this 440-nucleotide long non-coding RNA. Lineage: Eukaryota; Metazoa; Chordata; Actinopteri; Pomacentridae. The record is from Ensembl.